CUUAGGCUUAUAAGAUCGGGUUGCGGUUUAAGAUCUUAUACACAAUCAUACACAUGACAUCAAGUCGUAUUCGACUCCAAAACACUAACCAACCUUCUUCUUGCGUCUCAAAGAUUUCAUGGUGUAGCCAAAGUCUGUAUGAGUCUUUGGCUUUGUGUCUUCUAACAAGGAUACAAUUCUUACGCCUUUAAGAUCCAGUUGCGGUUUAAGUUCUUAUACUCAAUCAUACACAUGACAUCAAGUCAUAUUCGACUCCAAAACACUAACCAAGCUUCUCAAAGCUUUCAUGGUGUAGCCAAAGUCCGUAUGAGUCUUUGGCUUUGUAUCUUCUAACAAGGAACCAUUACUUAGGCUUUUAAGAUCAGGUUGCGGUUUUAGUUCUUAUACUCAAUCAUACACAUGACAUCAAGUCAUAUUCGACUCCAAAACAGUAACCAACCUUCUUCUUGCUUCUCAAAGCUUUCAUGGUGUAGCCAAAGUCUGUAUGAGUCUUUGGCUUUGUGUCUUCUACAAGGAUACAACUCUUACGCCUUUAAGAUCGGGUUGCGGUUUAAGUUCUUAUACUCAAUCAUACAAAUGACAUCAAGUCAUAUUCGACUCCAAACCACUAACACCCCUUCUUCUUGCUUCUCAAAGUUUUCAUGGUGUAGCCAAAGUCUGUAUGAGUCUUUGGCUUUGUGUCUUCUAACAAGGAUACAAUUCUUACGCCUUUAAGAUCCAGUUGCGGUUUAAGUUCUUAUACUCAAUCAUACACAUGACAUCAAGUUAUAUUCGACUCCAAAACACUAACCAAGCUUCUUCUAGCCUCUCAAAGCUUUCAUGGUGUAGCCAAAGUCCGUAUGAUUCUUUGGCUUUGUAUCUUCUAACAAGGAAACACUACUUAGGCUUAUAAGAUCGGGUUACGGUUUAAGUUCUUAUACUCAAUCAUACACAUGACAUCAAGUCAUAUUCGACUCCAAAACACUAACCAACCUUCUUCUUGCUUCUCAAAGCUUUCAUGGUGUAGGCAAAGUCCGUAUAAGUCUUUGGUUUUAUUGUUCUAAU
This 1044-nucleotide small RNA is filed under the name Arabidopsis thaliana (thale cress). Its description in RNAcentral is "ATSL267700". Lineage: Eukaryota; Viridiplantae; Streptophyta; Magnoliopsida; Brassicales; Brassicaceae. The record is from RNAcentral.